Molecule: ribosomal RNA, 253 nt
Filed under: uncultured bacterium
Lineage: Bacteria
Description: partial 16S ribosomal RNA
Rfam family: Bacterial small subunit ribosomal RNA
Source: RNAcentral
GACGGAGGAUGCAAGCGUUAUCCGGAAUGAUUGGGCGUAAAGCGUCCGCAGGUGGCAGUUCAAGUCUGCUGUCAAAGACCGGGGCUUAACUUCGGAAAGGCAGUGGAAACUGAACAGCUAGAGUAUGGUAGGGGCAGAGGGAAUUCCUGGUGUAGCGGUGAAAUGCGUAGAUAUCGAGAGGAACACCUGCGGCGAAGGCGGGUUGCUGGGCCGACACUGACGCUGAUGCGCGAAAGCCAGGGGAGCGAACGGG